GGAUUGGGCAAAGGUGAUCACGUGACGCUCCUUCCCUUCUGAUUAAUGUUGUUUCUUUACUAGACGCUAGUUUGCCAAGUUAUUGUGUUUUUAGAGUGCUUGGGGACCAUCGGAGGGGUAAAAACCGCCAGUUUUCUUCCGAAAUUUUAAACCAUGUCUACUGGCGAGCUUGAGGGAAUUUUUUAGACGUCCUCCGUCACACAUAGCCUCUCGCUACAUUCCUUGAACCUCAGCAGAUGCAGGCAAACUCUUAUGAUGGAUCCAGGAGGCGAAUCAGAUUCUCCGACAAGAGUUUCAUCAAGCAGCAACAGAGUUUCUGUUGUGCCAUUAACAUAUAGUGGUAAGUCAGUGACAUUGUGAAUAUGUGAAAUAAACUGAAAUGCAGCAAAAUAAGUGAAAGAGAAUCAAAACUUCUCUGUUGUACUUCAUUCAUCUUAGUUCCAAAAUGACAAUUCAGUCAGGGGAUUUGACUAAAAGGGUGCUGCGAUUAGUGAUGCAAGUCAGCAUGGUAUGGUAGAGAUAAUGGUUGUGGCCUUAUGGGCAUUGCUGAAAUUGUCUGUUGUCAUCCUGGUUGAAAUUCUGCUUGUUCAUCAGGAUCUUGUUUAAGCAAAUGUUUCUAUCUGAGCCAGAUAACUUUGAACUUAGGAAUCCUUAAAAAGUGGUUUGCUGUUUUGUUAAUGUCAACCCCUCACAAAGGGUGAGGUUUUGCAGCAUCCCAAUCGGUAAAUACUGCUUUGGAGGCAGCGUGGCUGAGUGGUUAGGGUAGCUAAGGUAAGGUAAAGUCUGCAAACGAGCCAAGUGGCCCAUCAG
Molecule: long non-coding RNA, 810 nt
Organism: Orbicella faveolata
Lineage: Eukaryota; Metazoa; Cnidaria; Anthozoa; Scleractinia; Merulinidae
Source: RefSeq, a predicted model, not a curated record